GACGAACGCUGGCGGCGUGCUUAACACAUGCAAGUCGAGCGGUAAGGCCCUUCGGGGUACACGAGCGGCGAACGGGUGAGUAACACGUGGGUAACCUGCCCUGUACUUUGGGAUAAGCCCGGGAAGCUGGGUCUAAUACCGGAUACGACUUCGUCACGCAUGUGGCGGAGUGGAAAGUUCUGGCGGUACAGGAUGGGCCCGCGGCCUAUCAGCUUGUUGGUGGGGUGAUGGCCUACCAAGGCGACGACGGGUAGCCGGCCUGAGAGGGCGACCGGCCACACUGGGACUGAGACACGGCCCAGACUCCUACGGGAGGCAGCAGUGGGGAAUCUUGCACAAUGGGCGAAAGCCUGAUGCAGCGACGCCGCGUGAGGGAUGACGGCCUUCGGGUUGUAAACCUCUUUCGCCCGGGACGAAGCGAAAGUGACGGUACCGGGAGAAGAAGCACCGGCUAACUACGUGCCAGCCGCCGCCGUAAAAC
Molecule: ribosomal RNA, 481 nt
Filed under: uncultured bacterium
Lineage: Bacteria
Description: bacterial SSU rRNA
Rfam family: Bacterial small subunit ribosomal RNA
Source: RNAcentral